This 413-nucleotide ribosomal RNA is filed under the name uncultured bacterium. Its description in RNAcentral is "bacterial SSU rRNA". It matches the Rfam family "Bacterial small subunit ribosomal RNA", at positions 266 to 688 of the family's 1533-position model. The record is from RNAcentral.
CACCGAGGGUACGAUGGGUAGGGGUCCUGAGAAGGAGAUCCCCCAACCUGGUACUGAGACACGGACCAAACUCCUACGGGAGGGGCAGAGAGGAAUAUUGGAAUUGGGGGCAAACCCGAUCCACUGUGCCGCGUGGCGGAUUUUCAUCUAUGGUGUGUAAACUGCUUUUGUACAGGAAGAAACCCUCCCACGUGUGUGAGAUUGACGGUACUGAAAGAAUAAAGAUCGGCUAACUCCGUGCUGUGCGCCGGUGCACCGAGGAUCCAAGCUUAUCCGUUUCAUUGACUUUAGGGGUCCGUAGGCGCCUUAUAAGUCAGAGGUGAAAUCUCUCUGCUCAAGCGGAAAAUGGCCAUUGAUACUGUAGGGCGAGAUUUAUAGGAUGUAACUAGAAUAUGUAGUGUAGGGCUGAAAUG